AGUGAACGCUGGCGGUAGGCCUAACACAUGCAAGUCGAACGGCAGCACAGUAAGAGCUUGCUCUUACGGGUGGCGAGUGGCGGACGGGUGAGGAAUACAUCGGAAUCUACUUUUUCGUGGGGGAUAACGUAGGGAAACUUACGCUAAUACCGCAUACGGCCUACGGGUGAAAGCAGGGGAUCUUCGGACCUUGCGCGAUUGAAUGAGCCGAUGUCGGAUUAGCUAGUUGGCGGGGUAAAGGCCCACCAAGGCGACGAUCCGUAGCUGGUCUGAGAGGAUGAUCAGCCACACUGGAACUGAGACACGGUCCAGACUCCUACGGGAGGCAGCAGUGGGGAAUAUUGGACAAUGGGCGCAAGCCUGAUCCAGCCAUACCGCGUGGGUGAAGAAGGCCUUCGGGUUGUAAAGCCCUUUUGUUGGGAAAGAAAAGCAGCAGGUUAAUACCCUGCUGUUCUGACGGUACCCAAAGAAUAAGCACCGGCUAACUUCGUG
RNAcentral lists this ribosomal RNA (492 nucleotides) under uncultured bacterium. RNAcentral's name for it is "partial 16S ribosomal RNA". It matches the Rfam family "Bacterial small subunit ribosomal RNA", at positions 29 to 507 of the family's 1533-position model. The record is from RNAcentral.